AACCCUCGUGUUAAUAUUACAUACCUCGAACUUCGUUUUUGGUCGUAGAAGCAUCCCUACAUCGUAGGGUCUCUCGGAAGAUUCAAUUUUUUCACCGCUUGUAGAUGCGGUAGAGGCAUAUCUGAACAGCUUUAACGCAUGAAUUUGAGGAAUCAAAUACCCCCGAAAUCGAUUAUAACUCAACAUGGGGAUUUCCAACUAAACCUAUGGUAAGAACUCACAAUAUGAUGGACUGCGAAUUAACGAGUUCAAUCAUAAUUUGCGACGCUCAGUGCUAAAAUCUUUACACAAUCCAAGGUGUCGUUAACUGUGUAAAUAAAUGAACAUUGAUCUAGGGAAUACAACAUAGAGGAAAUUGAACACAUUAGCUAUAAUAAUGAAGAACUUUGUUUUAUUGUUUG
Schizosaccharomyces pombe (fission yeast) is the source of this 401-nucleotide non-coding RNA. The record is from the annotation of a GenBank genome assembly. NCBI's taxonomy places the organism in Eukaryota, Fungi, Ascomycota, Schizosaccharomycetes, Schizosaccharomycetales, Schizosaccharomycetaceae.